UGUGCAGGUCUGUGUCUGAUCUUCUGCACUGCUGAUGUCUUUCAGGGCAGGUUUCUCAUGUCUCAGGCCGUUUCGAAGGCUUUAGUUUCUGCAGACGCCGUGAAGUGCUCAAUCAUCACUGUGGACAAGAACACACUGGAUUCAUUUCUCACUGUUUUAUUAUAGUGCAAAUUUAUCAUUUUUACCCCACAGGCAGUUAAUAAAUCAGUAACAUUUUCAGAGCUUGAGUUGCAUACUGUGUCUUAAGUGUCUUUUUCUUUGGUUGGGAAUAUGGGGCAGUUGAAUUGAUCUGCUUCUAAAGCUGGAGUGGAGGGUCUUGAACCGCUGACGAAGAGCUGAGCAAAUUUGGCAUUCGCUGCAACUGUGUCCUGCCGGGUUCACCACUACACCCAUAACAGAUAAAAAGUAGCUGAUGCAUGUGCGUUGCUGGCUUCUGAUGACAGUGGAUAUAUUCUGGAGUCAGUGUUCAAGUUGCAGGAAACAGACAGGUCCCACUUCAAAACCAAAUUUCUGAUUGUCCUCCCCAAAGUCUGAGAUCCUGAUGUCCAGCAGGGGGAGCUGCUCCACCUGAGGUGUGUUCACCUCCAGCACUGUCCUGUCCAAGCCUUUACGAUACUGCAGGG
Carassius gibelio (silver crucian carp) is the source of this 623-nucleotide long non-coding RNA. RefSeq lists it as uncharacterized. Lineage: Eukaryota; Metazoa; Chordata; Actinopteri; Cypriniformes; Cyprinidae. The transcript has 4 exons. The record is from RefSeq and is a predicted model, not a curated record.